CUUCUCGAAUCGCAUGGCCUUGCGCCGGCGAUGGUUCAUUCAAAUUUCUUCCCUAUCAACUUUCGAUGUUUGGGUAGUGGCCAAACAUGGUUGCAACGGGUAACGGAGGGUUAGGGCUCGACCCCGGAGAAGGAGCCUGAGAAACGGCUACUACAUCCAAGGAAGGCAGCAGGCGCGCAAAUUACCCAAUCCCGACACGGGGAGGUAGUGACAAUAAAUACUGAUACAGGGCUCUUUUGGGUCUUGUAAUUGGAAUGAGUACAAUUUAAAUCCCUUAACGAGGAACAAUUGGAGGGCAAGUCUGGUGCCAGCAGCCGCGGUAAUUCCAGCUCCAAUAGCGUAUAUUAAAGUUGUUGUGGUUAAAAAGCUCGUAGUUGAACCUUGGGCCUGGCUGGCCGGUCCGCCUCACCGCGUGUACUGGUCCGGCCGGGCCUUUCCCUCUGUGGAACCCCAUGCCCUUC
This 461-nucleotide ribosomal RNA is filed under the name Cordyceps sp. F5. RNAcentral describes it as "SSU rRNA". It matches the Rfam family "Eukaryotic small subunit ribosomal RNA", at positions 260 to 720 of the family's 1831-position model. The record is from RNAcentral. Lineage: Eukaryota; Fungi; Ascomycota; Sordariomycetes; Hypocreales; Cordycipitaceae.